This is a long non-coding RNA of Macrobrachium nipponense, 777 nucleotides long. RefSeq lists it as uncharacterized. The record is from RefSeq and is a predicted model, not a curated record. The transcript is spliced from 3 exons. Lineage: Eukaryota; Metazoa; Arthropoda; Malacostraca; Decapoda; Palaemonidae.
CAGGUAGAUCUUACUUGAGAAUCGCAACUUAGGCGUCGACGACCACCUUUGCUUCACUAUCCAUUUAUGCCUGAACUAGAUUUAUCAGUGACAGAGAUGUGGCACAUAUUAUCAGCAAUGACUUCGAACAGGAUCAGGUAUGGGGUAAAAUAUGGCAUGCUUUCCAGCUCUACUUGUGGAGGUAACAAUGGUGAAAUCACUCUCGACAAUGUACAACCCAUUACAAAACCUCUCCACAAUUUUACGCAACCUUCUUCUGGAUAGUGCUCUUUCUACCUAUAAGAUUGUUGGAUUUGAAAGCUGUGAUGAUGAAGAAAAAAAAAGAACUACAGAAAUUUAGGAAUGAAAUAUCGAAAAAAAAUGAGAGGUGGACGGAUAUUUGGUUCCAAAAUCUACCAUGGACCCAUUUCCGUACAGUUUUGGCAACCCCUUCCAAACACAUUAAAACUUAGUUGCGCGUGUACAGGGGACUCAGGCGCAUGUAUCAAUGUGCAUAAGAACUUCUAUCAUUAUUGGUGUAGCCACAAUUGAUGCCCAAAAGUGACAAUUUGGGAACCUAAAGCCGUCCACGGACGGGAAUAGGUUACCCGUCCACAAAUACUGAAGGUGAACAUAUUCCCGUCCAUCAACUUGUAAGACCCAGUAGAGCGUCGAAUACAAGUAUUACCUAGAUAAUCAGUCAGUUUGAAAUACGAGCAUUUGUUCGACAAAAGAUACAAAAUUUUCUCGAAAAUUUUAUUUGAAAAACGGAAAGUUCGGUUUAAGAAACGUUCGACA